This 301-nucleotide ribosomal RNA is filed under the name uncultured bacterium. RNAcentral describes it as "partial 16S ribosomal RNA". It matches the Rfam family "Bacterial small subunit ribosomal RNA", at positions 509 to 807 of the family's 1533-position model. The record is from RNAcentral.
CAGCCGCCGCGGUAAUACGGAGGGCGCGAGCGUUACCCGGAUUUACUGGGCGUAAAGGGCGUGUGGGCGGCCUGGGGCGUCCCAUGUGAAAGGCCACGGCUCAACCGUGGAGGAGCGUGGGAUACGCUCAGGCUAGAGGGUGGGAGAGGGUGGUGGAAUUCCCGGAGUAGCGGUGAAAUGCGCAGAUACCGGGAGGAACGCCGAUGGCGAAGGCAGCCACCUGGUCCACUUCUGACGCUGAGGCGCGAAAGCGUGGGGAGCAAACCGGAUUAGAUACCCCAGUAGUCCCUGUCUCUUAUAC